Molecule: ribosomal RNA, 453 nt
Filed under: Salmonella enterica subsp. enterica serovar Paratyphi B var. L(+) tartrate +
Lineage: Bacteria; Pseudomonadati; Pseudomonadota; Gammaproteobacteria; Enterobacterales; Enterobacteriaceae
Description: bacterial SSU rRNA
Rfam family: Bacterial small subunit ribosomal RNA
Source: RNAcentral
AAAUUGAAGAGUUUGAUCAUGGCUCAGAUUGAACGCUGGCGGCAGGCCUAACACAUGCAAGUCGAACGGUAACAGGAAGCAGCUUGCUGCUUUGCUGACGAGUGGCGGACGGGUGAGUAAUGUCUGGGAAACUGCCUGAUGGAGGGGGAUAACUACUGGAAACGGUGGCUAAUACCGCAUAACGUCGCAAGACCAAAGAGGGGGACCUUCGGGCCUCUUGCCAUCAGAUGUGCCCAGAUGGGAUUAGCUUGUUGGUGAGGUAACGGCUCACCAAGGCGACGAUCCCUAGCUGGUCUGAGAGGAUGACCAGCCACACUGGAACUGAGACACGGUCCAGACUCCUACGGGAGGCAGCAGUGGGGAAUAUUGCACAAUGGGCGCAAGCCUGAUGCAGCCAUGCCGCGUGUAUGAAGAAGGCCUUAGGGUUGUAAAGUACUUUCAGCGGGGAGGAAG